Molecule: ribosomal RNA, 482 nt
Filed under: uncultured bacterium
Lineage: Bacteria
Description: partial 16S ribosomal RNA
Rfam family: Bacterial small subunit ribosomal RNA
Source: RNAcentral
AUUGAACGCUGGCGGCAGGCCUAACACAUGCAAGUCGAGCGGAUGAAGGGAGCUUGCUCCUGGAUUCAGCGGCGGACGGGUGAGUAAUGCCUAGGAAUCUGCCUGGUAGUGGGGGAUAACGUCCGGAAACGGGCGCUAAUACCGCAUACGUCCUGAGGGAGAAAGUGGGGGAUCUUCGGACCUCACGCUAUCAGAUGAGCCUAGGUCGGAUUAGCUAGUUGGUGGGGUAAAGGCCUACCAAGGCGACGAUCCGUAACUGGUCUGAGAGGAUGAUCAGUCACACUGGAACUGAGACACGGUCCACUCCUACGGGAGGCAGCAGUGGGGAAUAUUGGACAAUGGGCGAAAGCCUGAUCCAGCCAUGCCGCGUGUGUGAAGAAGGUCUUCGGAUUGUAAAGCACUUUAAGUUGGGAGGAAGGGCAGUAAGUUAAUACCUUGCUGUCUUGACGUUACCAACAGAAUAAGCACCGGCUAACUUCGUG